Molecule: ribosomal RNA, 619 nt
Filed under: uncultured Actinomycetes bacterium
Lineage: Bacteria; Bacillati; Actinomycetota; Actinomycetes
Description: uncultured actinobacterium partial 16S ribosomal RNA
Source: RNAcentral
GCAUCCAACGCGUUGGGAGCUCUCCCAUAUGGUCGACCUGCAGGCGGCCGCGAAUUCACUAGUGAUUCGUAUUACCGCGGCUGCUGGCACGUAGUUAGCCGGUGCUUCUUAUCUAGGUACCGUCACAAAAAGCUUCGUCCCUAGCGAAAGGAGUUUACAACCCGAAGGCCGUCAUCCCCCACGCGGCGUCGCUGCAUCAGGCUUGCGCCCAUUGUGCAAUAUUCCCCACUGCUGCCUCCCGUAGGAGUCUGGGCCGUAUCUCAGUCCCAAUGUGGCCGUCCACCCUCUCAGGCCGGCUACCCGUCGCCGCCUUGGUAGGCCAUUACCCCACCAACAAGCUGAUAGGCCGCGAGCUCAUCCUACACCGAAAAAACUUUCCAACCAUCACACUAAAAAUGGCUCCUAUCCGGUAUUAGACCCAGUUUCCCAGGCUUAUCCCGAAGUGCAGGGCAGAUCACCCACGUGUUACUCACCCGUUCGCCACUCGAGUACCCUGCAAGCAGGGCCUUUCCGUUCGACUUGCAUGUGUUAAGCACGCCGCCAGCGUUCGUCCUGAGCCAUGAUCAAACUCUAAUCGAAUUCCCGCGGCCGCCAUGGCGGCCGGGAGCAUGCGACGUCG